Molecule: long non-coding RNA, 215 nt
Organism: Rhagoletis zephyria (snowberry fruit fly)
Lineage: Eukaryota; Metazoa; Arthropoda; Insecta; Diptera; Tephritidae
Source: RefSeq, a predicted model, not a curated record
GAAAAAUUGUAACUCACAUUCCCAAAAAGCGCCACGGAUGGUCAGUGGACCUUCGUUGCUGUUGGCGUUCUUUGAACUGAACCAAACAUCCUUGUCAAUGCGCUUUUCCAGAAGGAUUCUGCGUUCUGAACUGCUCCCUGUAAAAUAGUAUUUUUAAUUAAAAAAAUACAUAACGCCUUUUCAUAUGUAAAUCUGAAAUUAAAUCUUACAAGUUA